This 5713-nucleotide long non-coding RNA is filed under the name Sus scrofa (pig). RNAcentral describes it as "lncRNA (ENSSSCG00000060124.1)". Lineage: Eukaryota; Metazoa; Chordata; Mammalia; Artiodactyla; Suidae. The record is from RNAcentral.
CAGGAUAUGCUAUUGGAUUAAUGGUGAAAUAUGAAAGAAAGGAGUCAAAAAUGAAUACAGUGGUUUGGUUUAGUUUUUUCCCUUGCCAACUGGAAAAAAAAAAAAAAAAGGAGUUCCCAUUUACAGAGAUAAUACAGAUUAUAGGAGAAAUAUGCUUAGUGGAUCAAAUGAGUAGUUUUAUUCUGAGCAUGUUAAGUUUAAAAAAUGUGAUGCACAUCCAAAUGAAGAAGCUGAGUGUGCUUAGAUUUAAGGAGAUAAAAUCUCUUCCUUAACUACCUCCUUUCCUCCCACCUCUUUUGUUACCAAUCUCCCCUUCUGUUAAGGACUUUGUUUAGGUCUGUUAUCACUGUACUUUCACACUCAUGUUCCUUGAACAAAUCUAUUUCACCUCCCUCUCUAGUUUAUUCAUUUUUCAAUAAUCCAUUUAAUCUGUCAUCUAUCUAUAGCUAGAGAGGGAGUAUAUGAUGAGAUUAAAGAGCAGAUAUCCCUGGGCCUAAUUGCUGCUAGUUGAAUUCCUAGCUCUGCCAUUUACUAGGUAUUUCAAGUUUGGUAAUGUCUUUGUUCCUCAGUUUUCUCACAGAUAAAAUGAAGAUAACAAUAGUAUAUACAUUACAUUUUUAGAGCAACAUUCUGAGAAUACUAAGUCUCUUUUGUCGAAGUAAUUUCAGCUAGGACAGUGUCUUGAUAAGGAGAACACAUAUUUUUCUUAAAACCAAUCACUUUUUGUGGCCACUUGACCAGUAACUGAGGUCAUAUGUCAGUAUGGUUCAAGACAACAAGUAUAAAUUUUGACCCAUUAGGACAAGGCUUAACCUCCAAAGUCAUUUUGACUGUGGUCAUACUUAGUUCCAUGACUUUAAAUACCAUCUGUAAGUAUGUUGUUUUCAAAUUUUUCAUCCUGGAUGUCUAGGCUCAGAAAGUCUCAGUGGGGCAAAUCACAUGGCUUUUGGACUAUAUUUGUCAUAUAUCUCUUUAAUGGAGUACAAUUCUAGGUUAUCACAAGAUACAAACAAUACUUGAAUCAUGCAGUUCCUUCCCUUAGCGCUAAUUCCAUUAAUUUAUUUAUUCAAUAAUUUAAUAUUCAGUGCCCAUUAUACUCAGGCAGUCUUAUAGGUACUGGAUAUAAUGAUGAUCAAAGCAGAAAAGUUGAUUAUCUAAAAUACUUUACUGUUCAUAGAAUGAUUCAAAAAAGUCAGUUCUUCUACCAUUGAGACUACUUCAUAGACAUAAAACAAUGAUUUAGAGGCAUUACUCUAGACAGGAAGAGGGACAUAUUUCUAAUCACUUGGAAAAUGAAUCAGAGCUGGGUGUUAAGCAAGAACCUGAGGUGUCAGAAAUCAGUCCUUCCAGGUUAAAUGACUUUAGUCAUCCCUUCAUUUCCAGAAAGGUCCCCAGAAGUCCUAAAAUCUCAAAAAAGACUGAGAUUUUAUUCCCACUCCUUUCAGAAAUAAGACAUUAUGACAAAAUAAAAAAGUCUCCUCUCUCCCUUAAACCUGUUCACAAAGGACUGAUUCCCGUGACAGUGGAAGGAAGCUAAAAGGAAAGAUAUGAGUCAUCCUACAUCUCAACUCACUUAAAAUGUCCCAAAUAUUUCUGGGGAAGGUUUUAAACAUGCACACACAAACCUACCUUAAAAGAUUCUGCAUUUUCAGUUAAAAUACAACACAACUCUACAUUGUUUCCCAAAGAUUUGCUAUAUGGUAGGAAGAAUAUUUUUUAAACCUGCAAAGAUUUUAUAGCAGAGUAUAAUCUUGACGUGGACAAAAACAGUAUCCCUGAUUGACGCAAACAUAAAUAGAAGUAACCAUGACUGGCCUCAAAUUCCCUGGUUGUUAACAAUUUACUCACAGGAAAAAAUAGGAGUGGACACAACUCUGGUCUUGACCUAAGAGAGUUGGGAACUGGAGAAAAGGAGGUGAAUAGUUAGGAUGCCCAUUUCACGCUUGGCACAAGGAAAAAAAUACAUCUGCAGCAUAAUUUAUACCAAGAAAGGCUAAAACCAUGGAGUCCAUAAUCAAAGCACCAAUGGUGACAGCAGCAACUAGAGAAGUAGUAUCCAGAAACAUGUAUGACUACCACCAGUAUAAUUCUCUAGUGCUGGGACUUUGGAAGCAACUGCUAAGUAUUUAUUAUGCUAGUAAGGGACACUUUAAUGACAUUUUUACAGUACUUACUUAGUUAAAAUUCAAACCUUGUAAUAUUUACCUGUUUACAAUGCAUUUUGUAAUUGUUUACAAUACAUUUACAUUUAUUUUUAUAAUUCCAAGCAGUUGAGAAGUGUGGCAGCCAGUAAACUCGAUUUGAAAAAAUAGGGUUUUUUCCUAAGAAAUGAUUUUAAUAAUGAAAAACAUGUACAACUUUAUACAUUUAGACUGCUUAUCUAAAUCAUCUGAACUUUAUUUUUAUUAUUAUUUUUAAUAGUUAUUUCCCCAAUACAAUUUUUUUCUAAUGUACAGCAUAGUGACAUAUUCUAAUAGAACAUGUGCAUAUUCUAUUUUCGUGCAUUAUCAUGCCCAUCAUGAACAUUUUGCAAGAGCGUAUGGUUUUCCUAAAUAUAAAAUAUCCUUCACACUACUUCACUUUUACUUAUUAUAGUAAUGGAAAUGUGUUUUAUUGCAUACAAGAAAGCAUAUUAUUUGCAUCAACAUCAUGUAAUAAUUUUGAAUUAAUCCCUGUAUUGAGUUUAUGACAUGUCCUAUUCUGUUUAAUUGAUAGAAAUUUAACAGUCAUAAUCCGUAUUUACUUUUUAUACCCAGUAGAAUUUGCAUAGAAAGAGCUGAGUAUUUUGAAGUCAUAUUAGUUCUCAGAAUCUAGUUCACAAAUAUUAGUUGUAUAAUGAGUUGAAAAUCAAUAUACAUCAAGUAAAAGUAAGUUUAACAAAUCUUAUAGUUUCUUUGGUAGAUAUGUCAAAUAUAAGAGGUUUUAACAGAUAUCACUUUAGAAUAUUACAAAAUAUUUAAUAGUGUAAGGAAUAUUUCCAUAAUCUGAAAAGAAUGAGUUUCUCUGACUUAAGCACAAGUAUAUUCAUUCAUUCAUCUGUGCAUUUAAGUUUACAUGCAUACAUUUGUUUAAUAUGUAUUUGUUGAGCAGAUGAAGUAGCAGGUAUUUUUACUGUGCCCUGAAUAAAAAUGGUGACUAGUAGAACAUUGUUUUCCUGAAUUGAGUGUGGAAGACAAAGAAUAUAACACUCCAGAUAAAAUUCUGUGGGCUGACAUUUUUAUAGCAAGUUACAGUCUCUGGAGCAAGAAAAACAUGUGUUUAAAAUCUGGUUCAGCCAUCUCCUAAUUGUGUAGAUCAGAGCUGACUAAGGUACUUAAACUUUGUAAACUCUAGUUCCCUCUUCUAUUAGAGAAGUUUCUCUUGCUUUAAAAUAGUUGUAAUAUCACUUAUGAAUAUAAGGAUUAUAAGAAAUAAUACAUUAUGUAAACUAUAAUGAUGCUAGUCCAAUAGUUGUUCUCAUAAUAUACUCAAAAUAAGAACCCAAAAGUACAGUGUGCUAUUCAAAAAUAGUGAUUAUGCUGAUCGUCUAUGCUACCAAUAAAAUGAACUAAAAGUAUCCUUAUUUUGUUAUCUUCAAUUCCCAUCACAAAAAUAAAAGAUCAAUAAACACUCUAAGUGAAAAUUAAAGUAGCAGCUAAUUGAAAAAAUAACCCCACUUGUGAUAGAGCAUGAUGGAGGAUAGAAUGUGAUUAAAAAGAAUGUAUAUAUGUAUGUGUGACUGUGUGACUUUGCUAUAUAGAAAAUUGACCAAACACUGUAAAACAACUAUAAUGGAAAAAAUAAAAAUCAUUAAAAAACCCACUUUAAUGUGAAACAUUAGACAUUAUAAAAAAGAAAACCACGUUCUUAUCCAAGACAGUAUGAAGUCGUUGUCGUUAGUGUUGGUCAUUAGUGUUUAUGGCUUGGAAUCCUUUCAUAUGACACUUCUCAUUUACAUUGAUCCUAUAAUGAUACUCAAAACUUAGGUGGUCCCACAAUUGAAAGAAAAAUUAUAUACGAAGUCACAAAAUAUUUUCCUCAACUUUUAUAAGAACAAUAUUUAAAUUAAUCCCAUUUAUGUGCCAGAUAUUUUUUAUUUUUCAAAAAAUUUGCCCUCAUAAGGUAAAUAUAUUUGUAUUUAUUUCUAUUCUUUUAAAUAUGUUUACUUAAGUAAUUUAUAGCCUUAUAUUGAAAACAUAAUAUAUUUGGUAUCAUGACACUAUUAUUCUUAACACUGAAAAUGAUCUAUUCUUCUAUAUUAUUUUUCAAUGAAACAAGCAUCUAUUUUUAAAGAACUUUUUAAGAUGGAUUAAAAAAAAGACCCUUAAAGAGGGAGUGAAGAAGGAAAAAUAAAAAACAGCAACAAGAGCAACAACUUUCUUUACAAUAAAGGACUGCAAUAGAAUAUAAACAUAGUUGGAUCCUGGUUUGAGAGAUCUUUUUCUCUUGGGAAAUGAAAUCUGAGAAUAUAUUAUAGGUGAAUCACCACAGUCAUAGAAAAAACAUAUCAUGCAAAGAGCUAGAAUAUUCAAAGCACCAAAGCAUAGCAUUAGAUCUAGGAAAUGUUAAUUUUUAUUAGAUUGCAAGUCACUGAAACCAAAGAAUCUAUUGGUAGAUGACAGAAGUAGCUCACCAAACUAAGGAAAUACUGCACAAAUCAAGUUUAAACACCUGCUUGUUUCAGAUAUUCUUUUGAAAUUACUAGGGAAAAGACUAAAGGAUGUUGUGGCAGGAGUUCUCACCUGGCUCUUUCUAUUAUAAAUUGGGGAUGGUCCCUAUUAUCACAGAUGUGACUGCUGGAGGCACCAUGAGUGUUUAUCAAGGAAAGAAGGGAAAUUAUAAAACACCAAGAAGCUAUCCUAAAUGGCAGUUAUAUGGGGCUGGCACUGUUUAAUCAGCUGAUCAAUUUUACCAUCUUCAGACUAAGAAAAGAUUAAGAAACUAUAGUACAUACAGAAAAAAAUAAUUUCCUUUUGUACCUCCAAUCCCAAACUAUACAUUUCAGAAUGUAUGCUCAUGAGGUUCUACCCAAGUAUGAAAUAAAGUCAUAGUUAAAUAUUUUCUAAAUGUGUUAGGUCACUGGUUAGACUGCUUUAACAGAGAUGAUGUAUCAGACACUUCAAUAAAAUAGAAGUUUAUUUCUUUUUUGUUAGAUUACAGUGGUAAAUUGUUAGGCAUAGUAGAGUGGUAUUUUAAGGACCUAUGUUUCUUGAAAUUUGGUUUUAAAUAGCAAUAUGUCCCCAAGCUUAUUAUUAUAGGGUUGAAUCUAAGUUUUGUUAAGAUAAAAAUUGUUUCUAAUAGUUUAAUGUCAUUAAGAAGAACCUAAGAUAAUGCUUGCUCCUUGGUCUCUGUGCCCAUAUAUCCUUUUCUCAUCUAGUGACAGCUGCCUGAUUACAUAGCAUGUCCCAUAGAAAAACAAUAUAUAAAUCAUGAAAUAUGCAAAAUACAACUUUUCUAUGGUUAUGUUUAUUUCCUAUAGAAUCAUAUAGGACACUUCUAGAAUACAGGUGCCAUGUCUCAUUAAUUAGGUGGCAGUAGAUAGUUUGAUUCUGACGUUUCCAUUAUGUUUGUUUCUACACAUUUAAGCAAUAGUUCAUGUUAAAAAAAUAACUAGAUAUUUCAGUCGUAUGUUAGACACCAAAAAUUCCACACCAAGUAUAGAUUAUUUUUAAGCUAUCUCCACUAUUCCACUCAGAAGUGGCAUCUGAGGAAAAAAAUCAACAAAGAUUAUCCC